Molecule: ribosomal RNA, 463 nt
Filed under: uncultured Anoxybacillus sp.
Lineage: Bacteria; Bacillati; Bacillota; Bacilli; Caryophanales; Anoxybacillaceae
Description: bacterial SSU rRNA
Rfam family: Bacterial small subunit ribosomal RNA
Source: RNAcentral
CCGCACAAGCGGUGGAGCACGUGGUUUAAUUCGAAGCAACGCGAAGAACCUUACCAGGUCUUGACAUCCCCUGACAACCCGAGAGAUCGGGCGUUCCCCUUCGGGGGGACAGGGUGACAGGUGGUGCAUGGUUGUCGUCAGCUCGUGUCGUGAGAUGUUGGGUUAAGUCCCGCAACGAGCGCAACCCUCGACCUUAGUUGCCAGCAUUCAGUUGGGCACUCUAAGGUGACUGCCGGCUAAAAGUCGGAGGAAGGUGGGGAUGACGUCAAAUCAUCAUGCCCCUUAUGACCUGGGCUACACACGUGCUACAAUGGCUGGUACAAAGGGUUGCCAACCCGCGAGGGGGAGCCAAUCCCAUAAAGCCAGUCGUAGUCCGGAUCGUAGUCUGCAACUCGACUACGUGAAGUCGGAAUCGCUAGUAAUCGUGGAUCAGAAUGUCACGGUGAAUACGUUCCCGGGUCUU